Molecule: transfer RNA, 84 nt
Filed under: Lachnospiraceae bacterium
Lineage: Bacteria; Bacillati; Bacillota; Clostridia; Lachnospirales; Lachnospiraceae
Description: tRNA-Leu
Rfam family: tRNA
About the family: Transfer RNA (tRNA) molecules are approximately 80 nucleotides in length.
Source: RNAcentral
GCCGGUGUGGUGGAAUUGGUAGACACAAGGGACUUAAAAUCCCUCGGAGUUAAAUCCGUGCCGGUUCGAGUCCGGCCACCGGCA